AACGUAGGUGGCAAGCGUUAUCCGGAAUUACUGGGCGUAAAGCGCACGCAGGCGGUCUUUUAAGUUUGACGUGAAAUCUCCGGGCUUAACUCGGAACGGUCAAGUGAUACUGUCGGACUAGAGUACAGAAGGGGCAACUGGAAUUCUCGGUGUAGCGGUGAAAUGCGUAGAUAUCGAGAGGAACACCUGCGGCGAAGGCGGGUUGCUGGGCUGAUACUGACGCUGAGGCGCGAAAGCCAGGGGAGCGAACGGG
RNAcentral lists this ribosomal RNA (253 nucleotides) under uncultured bacterium. RNAcentral's name for it is "partial 16S ribosomal RNA". It matches the Rfam family "Bacterial small subunit ribosomal RNA", at positions 524 to 776 of the family's 1533-position model. The record is from RNAcentral.